UCAUACAUAAAAGAAUUCAGAGAAGAUUCAAAUAUUAUUCAUAGAUAGACUUGAUCAUAAACCCACAAUUCAUCGGUCUCAACAAACACACCGCAAAAAGAAGAUUACAUCGAAUAGUUCCCCACAAGAUAGGGGAGAACAUUGUAUUGAGAUCCAAAAAGAGAGAAGAAGCCAUCUAGCUACUAACUAUGGACAUGUAGGUCUGAGGUAAACUACUCACACUUCAUCGGAAGGGCUAUGGUGUUGAUGUAGAAGCCCUCCGUGAUCGAUGCCCCCUCCGGCAGAGCUCCGGAAUAGGCCCCAAGAUGGGAUCUUGUGGAUACAGAAAGUUGCGGAGUGGAAUUAGGGUUUUGGAUCUGUAUCUGAUCAUUUGGGGGUACGUAGGUAUAUAUAGAAGGAAGGAGUACGUCGGUGGAGCAACAGGGGGCCCACGAGGGUGGAGGGGGCGCCUGGGGGUGUAGGCACGCCCCCCUACCUCGUGGCCUCCUCUUUUCUUUCUUGACAUAGGGUCCAAGUCUCCCGUGUCUUGUUUGUUGAGAAAAUCACGUUCCCGAAGGUUUCAUUCCGUUUGGACUCCGUUUGAUAUUCCUUUUCUUCAAAACCCUAAAACAGGCAAAAAAACAGCAAUUCUGGGCUGGGCCUCCGGUUAAUAGGUUAGUCCCAAAAAUAAUAUAAAAGUGGAUAAUAAAGCCCAAUAAUGUCCAAAAAAGUAGAUAAUAUAGCAUGGAGCAAUCCAGAAUUAUAGAUACGUUGGAGACGUAUCAAGCAUCCCCAAGCUUAAUUCCUGCUCGUCCUCGAGUAGGUAAAUGAUAAAAACAGAAUUUUUGAUGUGGAGUGCUACUUGGAAUAAUUUUAAUGUAAUUCCUAAUUCUGGUAUGAAUAUUCAGAUCCAAAAGAUUCAAGACAAAAGUUCAUAUUGACAUAAAAAUAAUAAUACUUCAAGCAUACUAACUAAGCAAUUAUGUCUUCACAAAAUAACAUGGCCAAAGAAAGUUCAUACCUACAAAAUCAUAUGGUUUAGUCAUGUUUCAUUUUCGUCACACAAGAAUGCUCUCAUCAUGCACAACCCCGAUGACAAGCCAAGCAAUUGUUUCAUACUUUAGUAAUCUCAAACCUAUAAACUUUCACGCAAUAUAUGAGCGCGAGCCAUGGACAUAGCACUAUGGGUGGAAUAGAAUAUAAUGAGGGGGGGUUAUGUGGAGAAGACAAAAAAGGAUAAAUUCUCACAUCAACGAGGCUAAUCAAUGGGCUAUGGAGAUUCCCACCGAUUGAUGUUAAUGCAAGGAGUAGGGAUUGUCAUGCAACGGAUGCACUAGAGCUAUAAAUGUAUGAAAGCUCAACAAAGAAACUAGUGGGUGUGCAUCCAACUUGCUUGCUCACGAAGACCUAGGGCACUUGAGCAGGCCCAUUGUUGGAAUAUACAAUCCAAGUUCUAUAAUGAAAAAUUCCCACUAGUAUAUGAAAGUGGCAAAACAAGAAAUUCUCUAACAUGAAGAUUAAGGUGCUACUUUGAAGCACAAGUGUGGCAAAGGAUAGUAACAUUGUCCCUUCUCUCUUUUUCUCUCAUUUUUUUGGGCCUUCUUUUUUUUCCUCACUUGGGACAAUGCUCUAGAAAAUGAUGAUCAUCACACUUCUAUUUAUUUACAACUCAAUGAUUACAACUCGAUACUAAGAAAUAUGCAAUGGACCAAGAGUGACAUGUAUGAAAGAAUUAUGAACGGUGGCUUUGCCACAAAGACCAUGUCAACUACAUGAUCAUGCUAAGCAAUAUGACAAUAAUGAAUGUGUCAUGAUGAACGGAAUGAUGGAAAGUUGCAUGGCAAUAUAUCUCGGAAUGUCUAUGGAAAUACCAUAAUAGGUAGGUAUGGUGGAUGUUUUGAGGAAGAUAUAAGGAGGUUUAUGUGUGAAAGAGCGUAUCAUAUCACGGGGUUUGGAUGCACCGGCAAAGUUUACGCCAACUCUCAAUGUGAGAAAGGGCAAUGCACGGUACCGAAGAGGCUAGCAACGAUGGAAGGGUGAGAGUGCAUAUAAUCCAUGGACUCAACAUUAGUCAUAAAGAACUCACAUACUUAUUGCAAAAAUCUACAAGUCAUCAAAAACCUCGGUACUACGCGCAUGCUCCUAGGGGGAUAGAUUGGUAGGAAAAGACCAUCGCUCAUCCCCGACCGCCACUCAUAAGGAAGACAAUCAAAUAACACCUCAUGUUUCAAAUUUGUUGCAUAAUGUUUACCAUACGUGCAUGCUACGGGACUUGCAAACUUCAACAAGUAUUUCUCAAUUUCACAACUACUCAACUAGCAUGACUUUGAUAUUAUUACCUCCAUAUCUCAAAACAAUCAUCAAGCAUCAAACUUCUCUUAGUAUUCAAAACACUCUUAAGAAAAUUUUACUAACUUUGAAUACCUAGCAUAUUAGGAUUUUAAGCAAAUUAUCAUGCUAUUUAGACUACCAAAAUAAUAUAGGUGAAGCAUGAGAGAUCAAUAGUUUCUAUUAAACAAAUCCACCACCGUGCUCUAAAAGAUAUAAGUGAAGUACUAGAGCAAAAAUUAUAUAACUCAAAAGAUAUAAGCGAAGCACAUAGAGCAUUCUAACAAAUUCCAAAUCAUGUAUGGCUCUCUCAAAACGUGCGUACAGCAAGGAUGAUUGUGGUAAACUAACAAGCAAAGACUCAAAUCAUACAAGACGCUCCAAGCAAAACACAUAUCAUGUGGCGAAUAAAAAUAUAGCUCCAAGUAAAGUUACCGAUAGAAGUAGACGAAAGAGGGGAUGCCUUCCGGGGCAUCCCCAAGCUUUGGCUUUUAGGUAUCCUUAGAUUAUAUUGGGGGUGCCAUGGGCAUCCCCAAUCUUAGGCUCUUGCCACUCCUUGUUCCAUAAUCCAUCAAAUCUUUACCCAAAACUUGAAAACUUCACAACACAAAACUUAAAGUAGAAAAUCUCGUGAGCUCCGUUAGCGAAAGAAAAUAAAAGACCACUUCAAGGUACUGUAAUGAACUCAUUAUUUAUUUAUAUUGGUGUUAUACCUACUGUAUUCCAACUUCUCUAUGGUUUAUAAAUUAUUUUACUAGCCAUAGAUUCAUCAAAAUAAGCAAACAACACACGAAAACCAGAAUCUGUCAAAAACAGAACAGUCUGUAGUAAUCUGUAGCUAGCGCAAGAUAUGGAAUACCAAAAAUUCUAAAAUAAAUUUCUAGACGUGAGGAAUUUAUCUAUUAAUCAUCUGCAAAAAUGAUUAACUAAAUAUCACUUUCAAAAUAAAAAUGGCAGCAGUUCUCGUGAGCGCUAAAGUUUCUGUUUUUUACAGCAAGUUCAACAACACUUUCCCCAAGUCUUCCCAACGAUUCUACUUGGCACAAACACUAAUUAAACACAAAAAACACAACCAAAACUAAGGCUAGAUAAAUAUUUAUUACUAAACAGGAGCAAAAGGCAAGGAAUAAAAAUAAAUUUGGGUUGCCUCCCAACAAGCGCUAUCGUUUAACGCCCCUGGCUAGGCAUAACAAGCAAGAAUAGAUCUAGGUAUUGCCAUCUUUGGUAGGCAAUCCAUAAGUGGCUCUCAUAAUAGAUUCAUAAGGUGAUUUAAUUUUAUUUCUAGGAAAGUGUUCCAUGCCUUUCCUUAAUUGAAAUUGGAAUCUAAUAUUUCCUUCCUUCAUAUCAAUAAUUGCACAAAUGUUCUAAGGAAAGGUCUACCAAGAAUAAUAGGACAUGAUGGAUUGCAAUCUAUGUCAAGAACAAUAAAAUCUACGGGCACAUAAAUCCUAUUUGCAACAAUAAGAACAUCAUUAAUUCUUCCCAUAUGUUUCUUAAUAGUGGAAUCCGCAAGGUGCAAGUUUAGAGAGCAAUCAUCAAAAUCACGGAAACCUAACAAAUCACACAAAGUCUUUGGAAUCGUGGAAACACUAGCACCCAAAUCACAUAAAGCAUAGAAUUCAUGAUCUUUAAUUUUAAUUUUAAUAGUUGGUUCCCACUCAUCAUAAAGUUUUCUAGGGAUAGAAACUUCCAAUUCAAGUUUUUCUUCAUAAGAUUGCAUCAAGGCAUCAACGAUAUGUUUAGUAAACGCUUUAUUUUGACUAUAAGCGUGAGGAGAAUUUAGCACGGAUUGCAACAAGGAAAUACAAUCAAUCAAAGAGAAAUUUUCAUAGUUAAAUUCCUUGAAAUCCAUAAUAGUGGGUUUAGCAACAUCUAGGGUUUUAAUUUCUUCAAUCCCACUUUUAUCAAAUUUAGCAUCAAGAUCAACAAAUUCCGAAUUCUUAGAAUGCCUUCUAGGUAAAGGUGGAUCAUAUUCAGUCCCAUCAUUUUCAAGAUUCAUAUUUCAAAACAAAGAUUUAAUAGGGGACACAUCAAUAACAUUUAUAUCUUCAUCUUUAUUUUCAUUGGAACUAGAAGAACACGCUCUUAUAAAGGCAUCUUUCUUAGCACGUAUCCUAGCAGUUCUUUCUUUGCACUCAUCAAUGGAAAUUCUCAUGGCUUUGAGAGACUCAUUGAUAUCAUGGUUAGGUGGAAUAGAUCUAGGUUUUAAAGAAUCAACAUCAAGAGAAAUUCUAUCAACGUUCCUAGCCAAAUCAUCAAUCUUAAGCAAUUUUUCUUCAAUCAUAGCAUUAAAAUUCUUUUGCGAAGUAAUAAACUCUUUAAUAUUAGAUUCAAAAUCAGAGGCAUCUUAUUAUAAUUUCCAUAAGAAUUGUUGUAGUAAUUACCAUAAUUAUUAUAGGGAUUACUAGGAUAAGGCCUAGGAUUGAAAUUUCCUCUAUACGCGUUGUUACCAAAAUUGUUCCUACCAACAAAAUUCACAUCCAUAGAUUCAUUAUUAUUCUCAAUCAAAGUAGACAAGGGCAUAUCAUUAGGAUCAGAAGAAACACUCUUACUAGAAAAUAAUUUCAUAAGUUCAUCCAUCUUUCCACUCAAAACAUUAAUUUCUUUUAUCGCGUGCACCUUUUUAUUAGUAGAUCUUUGAGUAUGCCAUUGAGAAUAAUUAACCAUAAUAUUAUCUAGGAGUUUAGUAGCUUCUCCUAAAGUGAUUUCCAUAAAAGUGCCUCCCGCGGCCGAAUAUAAAAGAUUUCUAGAAGAAAAAUUCAAUCCGGCAUAAAAAUUCUGAACAAUCAUCCACAAAUUUAAACCAUGAGUAGGGCAAUUACGUAUCAUUAGUCUCAUUCUCUCCCAAGCUUGUGCAACAUGUUCAUGAUCAAGUUGCUUAAAGUUUAUAAUAUCUUUUCUAAGAGAGAUGAUCUUAGCGGGAGGAAAAUACUUAGAGAUAAAAGCAUCUUUGCACUUGUUCCAUGAAUCAAUACUAUUUUUAGGCAAAGACGAAAACCAAGCUUUAGCAUGAUCUCUAAGCGAGAAAGGAAAUAGUUUCAAUUUAACAAUAUCAUUAUCCACAUAUUUCUUCUUUUGCAUGUCACACAAAUCAAUGAAGCUAUUUAGAUGGGUAGCGGCAUCUUCACUAGGAAGGCCGGAAAACGGAUCUUUCAUGACAAGAUUCAGCAAACUAGUAUUAAUUUCACAAGAUUCAGCAUCGGUAAGAGGAGCAAUCGGAGUGCUAAUAAAAUCAUUGUUGUUGGUAUUGGUGAAGUCACACAAUUUAGUAUUAUCUUGAGCCAUCGUGACAAGCAAGCGGGCAAAAAGAGGCAAAUAGAGAAACAGAGGUAGGAUAGAGAGAGAGGGCAAAUAAAACGGCAAGGGUGAAGUGGGAGAGAGGAAAACGAGAGGCAAAUGGUAAAUAAUGUAAUGCAGGAGAUAAGGGUAUGUGAUGGGUACUUGGUAUGUUGACUUUUGCGUAGACCUCCCCGGCAACGGCGCCAGAAAUCCUUCUUGCUACCUCUUGAGCACUGCGUUGGUUUUCCCCAAAGAGGACGGGAUGAUGCAGCAAAGUAGCGUAACUAUUUCCCUCAAUUUUUGAUAACCAAGGUAUCAAUCCAGUAGGAGGCUACGCGCGAGUCCCUCGCACCUGCACAAAACAAAUAAAUCCUCGCAACCAACGCAAAUAGGGGUUGUCAAUCCCUAUAAGGCCACUUACGAGAGUGAGAUCUGAUAGAUAUGAUAAAGAUAAUAUUUUUGGUAUUUUUAUGAUAAAGAUGCAAAGUAAAAUAAAGGCAAAGUAAAUAGCAAAGGAAAUAACUAAGUAGUAGGAGAUUAAUAUGAUGAAGAUAGACCCGGGGGCCAUAGGUUUCACUAGUGGCUUCUCUCGAGAGCAUAAGUAUUCUAUAGUGGGUGAACAAAUUACUGUUGAGCAAUUGACAGAAUUGAGCAUAGUUAUGAGAAUAUCUAGGUAUGAUCAUGUAUAUAAGCAUCACGUCCGAGACAAGUAGACCGACUCCUGCCUGCAACUACUACUAUUACUCCACUCAUCGACCGCUAUCCAGCAUGCAUCUAGAGUAUUAAGUUAAAAACAGAGUAACGCCUUAAGCAAGAUGACAUGAUGUAGAGGGAUAGACUCAUGCAAUAUGAAGAAAACCCCAUCUUGUUAUCCUCGAUGGCAACAAUACAAUACGUGCCUUGCUGCCCCUACUGUCACUGGGAAAGGACACCGCAAGAUUGAACCCAAAGCUAAGCACUUCUCCCAUUGCAAGAAAGAUCAAUCUAGUAGGCCAAACCAAACUGAUAAUUCGAAGAGACUUGCAAAGAUAACCAAUCAUACAUAAAAGAAUUCAUAGAAGAUUCAAAUAUUAUUCAUAGAUAGACUUGAUCAUAAACCCACAAUUCAUCGGUCUCAACAAACACACCGCAAAAAGAAGAUUACAUCGAAUAGUUCUCCACAAGAGAGGGGGAGAACGUUGUAUUGAGAUCCAAAAAGAGAGAAGAAGCCAUCUAGCUACUAACUAUGGACCCGUAGGUCUGAGGUAAACUACUCACACUUCAUCGGAAGGGCUAUGGUGUUGAUGUAGAAGCCCUUCGUGAUCGAUGCCCCCUCCGGCGGAGCUCCGAAACAG
This 6920-nucleotide long non-coding RNA is filed under the name Triticum aestivum (bread wheat). RNAcentral's name for it is "long non-coding RNA (TAES_LNC014666)". Lineage: Eukaryota; Viridiplantae; Streptophyta; Magnoliopsida; Poales; Poaceae. The record is from RNAcentral.